AAAAGUUCGAAUGGGGAGAUUCAUCGUCAGCGACGCUGGCUUCACGGUGGCUCGCGAUAUCGCGGGACCCUCUCGCGGGGGUCGCCCGCGGUACGCGGUCGUCGUCGAACGUCCGGGCGGCGUCGGCGUGCACUUCUCCCCUAGUAGGACGUCGCGACCCGUUGGGCGCCGAUCUACGGUCCGAGCGGGUGCCUGUCGCGUCGCGCUAACGCGCGGACGCGGCAAACCCUCGGUCGCCUGAUACACAUCGGCUGCCCGGCGGUACUCCCAUGGUAUCGGGCCGCAAACCUCGAACUGCGUCGGGCUCGUCGCAAGCGCGGUCAGUGUCUGAACGCGGUGGUUACGGAUCUACGAGCCGUCCCCGCGCCUGACCAGCUGUUGGCAGACGAUGACCUCUGACAGGCCAAAAAUUGAAUUCAAUUGAAAGUGUGAUACCGGUCGGCGACGCUAUUGCUUUGGGUAAUCUCAGGACCCGUCUUGAAACACGGACCAAGGAGUCUAACAUGUGCGCGAGUCAUUGGGACUUCAGCAAAGCCUAAAGGCGAAAUGAAAGUGAAGGUCGUCCUUAAAAACGACCGAGGGAGGAUGGGCCGCGUCGAGAUGCGGCUUCGCACUCCCGGGGCGUCUCGCUCUCAUCGCGAGGAGAGGCGCACCCAGAGCGUACACGUUGGGACCAGGGGGGGG
RNAcentral lists this ribosomal RNA (684 nucleotides) under Dissomphalus sp. 1 IA-2018. RNAcentral describes it as "eukaryotic LSU rRNA". The stretch from base 489 to 684 matches the Rfam family "Eukaryotic large subunit ribosomal RNA", at positions 665 to 828 of the family's 3401-position model. The record is from RNAcentral. Lineage: Eukaryota; Metazoa; Arthropoda; Insecta; Hymenoptera; Bethylidae.